This 258-nucleotide long non-coding RNA is filed under the name Pelobates cultripes (western spadefoot toad). The record is from RNAcentral. Lineage: Eukaryota; Metazoa; Chordata; Amphibia; Anura; Pelobatidae.
GUCAGUGUCAUAAUACUGUUUGCUUUUACUGCAAUAAAAUACACAUAUUUGUAUUCAGUAAAGUCUCACGUGUAAGACAGUACCCCCUAUGUACAGGUUUUAUGGCGUUUUGGGAAGUUACAGGGUCAAAUAUAGCACGUUACAUUUGAAAUUGAAAUUCGCCAGAUUGGCUACGUUGCCUUUGAGACUGUAUAGUAGCCCAGGAAUGAAAUUUACACCCAUAUUGGCAUACCAUUUGCAAUAGUAGACAACCCAAGG